UGCUGUGAAAUACAGUGGCCCAACCACUGGACUGCAGCGCGAACUGUCGGGCUUGAGGGCGCACGACGCAGGCGGAAUUUGUGGUGUAGCGGUGAAAUGCUUAGAUAUCACGAAGAACCCCGAUUGCGAAGGCAGCUUGCGGGAGCGCGACUGACGCUGAAGCUCGAAAGUGCGGGUAUCAAACAGGAUUAGAUACCCUGGUAGUCCGCACGGUAAACGAUGGAUGCCCGUUCUGCGGCCUUCGGGCCGCGGGACCAAGCGAAAGCAUUAAGCAUCCCACCUGGGGAGUACGCCGGCAACGGUGAAACUCAAAGGAAUUGACGGGGGCCCGCACAAGCGGAGGAACAUGUGGUUUAAUUCGAUGAUACGCGAGGAACCUUACCCGGGCUUGAAUUGCAGACUAAUGCGGCGGAGACGCCGCAGUCCUUCGGGAAGUCUGUGAAGGUGCUGCAUGGUUGUCGUCAGCUCGUGCCGUGAGGUGUCGGCUUAAGUGCCAUAACGAGCGCAACCCCUAUUUUCAGUUGCCAUCAGUUUAAGCUGGGCACUCUGGAGAGACUGCCGCCGCAAGGUGUGAGGAAGGCGGGGAUGACGUCAAAUCAGCACGGCCCUUACGUCCGGGGCUACACACGUGUUACAAUGGCCGGUACAACAAGAAGGCUGCCCGCAAGGUCAGUCAAAUCCUGAAAACCGGUCUCAGUUCGGACUGGAGUCUGCAACCCGACUCCACGAAGCUGGAUUCGCUAGUAAUCGCGCAUCAGCCAUGGCGCGGUGAAUACGUUCCCGGGCCUUGUACACACCGCCCGUCAAGCCAUGAAAGCCGGGAGUGCCUGAAGUCCGUGACCGGAAGGGUCGGCCUAGGGCAAAACCGGUAAUUGGGGCUAAGUCGUAACAAGGUAACCGUA
RNAcentral lists this ribosomal RNA (902 nucleotides) under uncultured bacterium. Its description in RNAcentral is "bacterial SSU rRNA". It matches the Rfam family "Bacterial small subunit ribosomal RNA", at positions 590 to 1504 of the family's 1533-position model. The record is from RNAcentral.